UCCUACGGGAGGCAGCAGUGGGGAAUAUUGCACAAUGGGCGAAAGCCUGAUGCAGCGACGCCUCGUGAGGGAUGACGGCCUUCGGGUUGUAAACCUCUUUCAGCAGGGAAGAAGCGCAAGUGACGGUACCUGCAGAAGAAGCUCCGGCUAACUACGUGCCAGCAGGCGCGGUAAUACGUAGGGUGCGAGCGUUGUCCGGAAUUAUUGGGCGUAAAGAGCUCGUAGGCGGCUUGUCGCGUCGGAUGUGAAAGCCCGGGGCUUAACCCCGGGUCUGCAUUCGAUACGGGCAGGCUAGAGUGUGGUAGGGGAGAUCGGAAUUCCUGGUGUAGCGGUGAAAUGCGCAGAUAUCAGGAGGAACACCGGUGGCGAAGGCGGAUCUCUGGGCCAUUACUGACGCUGAGGAGCGAAAGCGUGGGGAGCGAACACGAUUAGAUACCCUGGUAGUCCACGCCGUAAACGUUGGGACCUAGGUGUUGGCGACAUUCCACGUCGUCGGUGCCGCAGCUAACGCAUUAAGUUCCCCGC
This 525-nucleotide ribosomal RNA is filed under the name Streptomyces paludis. RNAcentral's name for it is "bacterial SSU rRNA". It matches the Rfam family "Bacterial small subunit ribosomal RNA", at positions 337 to 872 of the family's 1533-position model. Lineage: Bacteria; Bacillati; Actinomycetota; Actinomycetes; Kitasatosporales; Streptomycetaceae. The record is from RNAcentral.